GCUGUGAGGAUGCAAGAACGAAGCGUAAGCAGCUGUGCUUGGUCAGAGGAAGGGUUCCAGGAAAGCCACACGGAAGAGAUAGCAUUGGACUGUGACCAGGACUAAAAAGAUGAUGUUGCCUUGGCAGACAACUGGAAAAACAUCAUAAGCAGAGAGAACAAUGUCUAAAAUAUCAACCAAGGUAUUUUGCAACCAGUUACGACUCUGAUUCUGAUUUUCAUGCUUCCUACCUCUUUCGCCUUGGAGUACUGCACUCCCCUCAAUCCUCACCCAAGCUGUUGGGUUGACACAGGAGGAAACUGAAGCCCAGAGGACAUAAUUUAUCUCCCUCCUUGAUACUGGCAUGUGAAGAAGCUGAGGCAGAAGCUGAAGGAAUGGCCACAGGCGCCAAGGAUGGCCAAGGAGGCCCUUGAUGCUUCUGGUCCUGCUGGGACCACUGAACACACAUGGACCUCUCUGCAACUUGAGCAAGGGAGGGUCAGGCUGGGUGACAAAGGCAUGAGCAGAGCUGCCCAGGGUGUCUCUGUGCAUGUUCAUCCCAGUCUUAGCAGAGCACAAUUUCAAUCCACGUUUCAGAUUCACCCAGAUGCCUUGGAUAAUUUGUUUUGGAAAACAUAUAUUGAAGUUACCAGAGCCACAGUAUGACAGAAGACUGGGUCCCAGAAUCAGAACUGCAAGGAAAGUCAUGCACUAAUGAAGAAAACAAUUCUUAAGGCUUAUGUGAGCUGAAAACAAACUUGUCAUGUUGCUGCCUUCAUCCAUUUUUAGAAGAUGUUUGUCCCCAGUAGUGCUACUCUAAUAAAAUACAUCAUCAACACAGUAACUUAAACUGGUCUCAUUAUAAAUCCUAGCUCUCCUAUCAUCGCAGUUUAAAUCCAGCCUACUGAUGUGGAAAGGCAUAUAAAUGCCUUCCAGAUUCUGAAAGGCAUAAUUUUCUUCACUUAUUUCAGGUUUUACUAAGGAUUCCAUACCCUUUGCUUCUGUUGAAUUAUUUCGUAGACACUAUUUUGUAAAGUAGAUAGAAGAGGUGCCUAGGAUUUAGGGUUUUUAAUGUCUUUCCAUCUUCCCAGGAUGCCUAUAUAGUAAUCAUUUAAAAUACAAGACAAUCCAAUAACAUGACAUGAAGCUUUCCACGAACUCAAAGAACCAAUGAGAAUAGACUUCUCUAAAAUAUUGGUGAACAAAUGAAUACUUGCCAGAGUCAGAACAAUGCAUUUUAAUUGAAUUAUUGCACUCACCAGGCAUUCCUGAGCCAAAGCACUUUUCCUUUUUUAAGUAACAAUUUUGUCUUUUAAAAAGUGUAUUUCUAGCUUGACAUAAGCAUGACUUUUUCUUUCAUGUGUCAUGUAUAAAUGGAGCAAUUUAUUUUCUUUGGACUCACAGAGUAAAUCCUCAUCUUUGCUUGUGCUGAUGGGGUGCAGGCCUGUGUGGGAGGAAUUCUGUGAAUGUGGAGCUUUCCCGUGGGUGCAGAGAGAGUUUGAUGGGAGCUGAUGAGGUGUGUGUGUUCUUCAGACUUAUCAACCACCACAUGAUGCUGGAAGAUGAGCCAGUGAAUCUGUGGGUGUUGAGCUUGUUGGAUAUUCUGGAUGCAGGUUUUUUUUUUUUUUUUAAUUUACAAUUUAAUAAAACCCAGCUGACAAGCUUUUUUUGUAAAUCGUGUUUAUGAGAUAUGAGUCAGUGAUGACAUAUCCGUAAGCGAUUCCAAUGAAAGGAAAACCUUUCAGGCAAGCGGCCCUUGGUUUUGUGGGAAGCUUAGCCAAGCAUGUUGCUCUAGCCUCUGGGGUGAAUUCUUUCCUAGCUUCAGUGAGAUGAGAAAAUCUUCAGAGCACAUUCCAAGAUGGGGCUUUUUUUUUUUUUUUUUUUUCUGUGAGAGGGUGAAGAUAGAGACCAGUUUGGUUUGGUGGUUGUCAUUCCGACUUUCCACACUGUCAUAACUAGGACAUGGCUGUGAAAGAACAUCUUGAAGACGAAGCAAACCCUGUUUUAGUAGCCGGAAAUAUUUUGUUUAGUUUUAGUUUAGUUUUUUGUUGUUGUCGAAGCUUUCAAAAGUCUUCUCUGAAAGUGGUUCUGUGUAGUAGGGGGGGGAGAGACAACUUUGUUGUUUUCUAAGAAACAAACAAACAAAAAACCUGCUUCUUUGAAUCUCCCAAAUGCAAAAGCAAAGAUACUUUCCUUGUACCUUCCUCCAAUUCCUGCCGUACGGGUUUGCUCUCAUCAGACUUCUCUCCUUACUGUGCCAUCCAACGAAAUGUCAUGGUCCUUGAAUGGUUUUAUUAAAUAUCAGUUGGCAAAUACGUAUGCAGUCGUGAGGCACAGGAAAUAGCAAACCAUCCUAAUAUCCUCUAAAUAAGAUGAACAUUUCACUUGAGGGAAGGUAUUGCAGAUGCUCCAACUUGAGGAAGAGAAUACACACUCUAUAAAUUGAAACCUUUCAUUGUAGUUUUUAAAAAUCUCGUAUUUUCAUUAGGAACUGGAAAUAAGAUCAAUUUUCUCUUGGGACCUAUAUUGAAAAACAGAGAGAGACAAAUAUAACCCAGGCAUACCGGAAUUGAUGGGCACUCAAGUAGGGAUUUUUUUUUUUAAAUAAAAACUUACCUGCCCAUGGUAUGGUUAAGCUUGACUCAACUGCAACAUGAUUUUUGUCAUUGUUAGAUGCCAUAAGGUAUUGUAUUAACAGCCUAACCUACAUGAGAGAUCGUAUGCCUCAGGAGUUCAAACAUAUCAUCAACAUUAUGGCUAGAACCAAGGUUUUUAACAGGUCAGGCUACUUUCAGGAAAACUCUUUCAAGUGUCAUAUGUAUACAAUGUUUGGAAUUCUUAUUUAACGCAUUCUAUUAUUUAGAGGGCUUGCUUCUAUUUUUC
This is a long non-coding RNA of Macaca mulatta (Rhesus monkey), 2862 nucleotides long. NCBI's taxonomy places the organism in Eukaryota, Metazoa, Chordata, Mammalia, Primates, Cercopithecidae. The record is from Ensembl.